GCCCUAGUAACGGCGAGUGAAGCGGCAACAGCUCAAAUUUGAAAGCUGGCUCCGGCCCGCAUUGUAAUUUGCAGAGGAUGCUUUUGGUGAGGUGCCUUCCGAGUUCCCUGGAACGGGACGCCAUAGAGGGUGAGAGCCCCGUAUGGAUGGACACCAAACCUGUGUAAAGCUCCUUCAACGAGUCGAGUAGUUUGGGAAUGCUGCUCAAAAUGGGAGGUAAAUCUCUUCUAAAGCUAAAUACCGGCCAGAGACCGAUAGCGCACAAGUAGAGUGAUCGAAAGAUGAAAAGCACCUUGAAAAGGGGGUUAAACAGUACGUGAAAUUGUUAAAAGGGAAGCGCUUGUGACCAGACUUGCGCCGGGCAGCUCAUCAGGGGUUCUCCCCUGUGCACUCUGCCCGGCUCAGGCCAGCAUCGGUUCUCGUGGGAGGAUAAGAACAGUAGGAAUGUGGCCCCCUCUCGGGGGGGUGUUAUAGCCUACUGUACGAUACUCUCGCGGGGACCGAGGUUCGCGCUCCGCAAGGAUGCUGGCGUAAUGGUCAUCAGCGACCCGUCUUGAAACACGGACCAAGGAGUCGUCCAUUAGAGCGAGCGUUUGGGUGUAAAACCCGCACGCGUAAUGAAAGUGAACGCAGGUGAGAGCUUCGGCGCAUCAUCGACCGAUCCUGAUGUCUUCGGAUGGAUUUGAGUAAGAGUUUUAACGGACGGACCCGAAAGACAGUGAACUAUGCUUGUAUAGGGUGAAGCCAGAGGAAACUCUGGUGGAGGCUCGCAGCGGUUCUGACGUGCAAAUCGAUCGUCAAAUAUGAGC
Molecule: ribosomal RNA, 809 nt
Filed under: Cytospora ceratosperma
Lineage: Eukaryota; Fungi; Ascomycota; Sordariomycetes; Diaporthales; Cytosporaceae
Description: partial large subunit ribosomal RNA
Rfam family: Eukaryotic large subunit ribosomal RNA
Source: RNAcentral